Long non-coding RNA from Magnolia sinica, 531 nucleotides. RefSeq lists it as uncharacterized. NCBI's taxonomy places the organism in Eukaryota, Viridiplantae, Streptophyta, Magnoliopsida, Magnoliales, Magnoliaceae. The transcript has 3 exons. The record is from RefSeq and is a predicted model, not a curated record.
CAAGCAGUUUAUAGCAUCAAACUGGCUGUAGUUGCUUCUCAUAAGGAACACAUAAAUCUGGAGCAAUGGCUGAACAAAAAUCUGAGCACAUACAAGGAUACUUUUUUCUAGGAUUGCCUCAAGUUCUUAAAAGAAAUACCUUCUGCAGCAAUAAAUGAUGCAUCUGCGAAUCCUUUCCAACAUUCCAACUCUGUCAUGAAUCUUUAUCUAGAGACAAGUUCUACUCUUUUGAAGGUUUUUGCUUCCAAAAUUUCUUUUUCUAUUACCUAUACACAGCGUCAUAGAGAACUAUUAUGCAUAUUGUAGUUUACAUGAAUAUUUCACAGGUCCUUCAAGCCCAUUCUGGCCAGCUCAUCUCCCACCAACUUUCUGAGGAAUUGAGAGGGUUGCAGGCAUCAUCUGUGCAUGCUAAUCCAAGACUGCAAAAUGGUGGAGCUACAGAUUCAUCAACACAUGAUGCAUCAUAUCUAAUUAUUCACUGGCCUCUUCAGAUCAACAGAAAAUAAUCUUUUUUAGCAUCUCUGUCUAAAC